GGAGUUGUGGCUCAGUGGUAGAGCACUUGCCUAGCAUGUGUGAGGCCCUGGGUUCAAUUCUCAGCAUCACAU
This 72-nucleotide transfer RNA is filed under the name Marmota marmota marmota (Alpine marmot). It matches the Rfam family "tRNA". Rfam says of the family: Transfer RNA (tRNA) molecules are approximately 80 nucleotides in length. Their secondary structure includes four short double-helical elements and three loops (D, anti-codon, and T loops). Lineage: Eukaryota; Metazoa; Chordata; Mammalia; Rodentia; Sciuridae. The record is from Rfam by way of RNAcentral. RNAcentral also lists the same sequence under 3 other names.